CAUGCUGGUGUACAGCAGCCCUAGAACAAGACCAGUGCUGCACCCUGAUGAAUGAAGAUCCGGUUGGCCUUUCUGCUCUGUCGUGAGCGUAGAGGAAAUGGGAGACAUGGUUGGCUCUAGAUUCACCGGACUGGAGGACAUGACCGGUAGGUGCUUCGGAUCAAGUGCAGAUUGCAUCACUGAAGCGGAGAGAAACAAAGCAUACAAGAGUUUCAGAAUUCAGAGAUACGCAGUGUAUGAGAAACGGAUGGGACGGACAGUCUCAAGUUCUGAACUCUGAACGGCUCGCUACGGCCUGCACGGCCGCACGGGUGUGCAGGUGACUAAAGUCAGGUCCGUCCGUUCCUAGUUCGGAGGCGGCGGCUGUCCCUGUCCGCAUCUCGAUUUCACGGCCAACUCUCGCCAUCCCAGACCAAAACGCGCGGCGCUGCCCCCGCUCUGUUUUCUCCGACGCCCAUCCGCUGGGACCAACUCCACGGAGAAGAGAAAGGGAAGCGUUUGGGGAGGGAGCGCUGCUCGGGGCUUUCAGGCCCUCAUCCGUCGCCGUCAGAAAUCAGUCUGUGUGCUGCUGCAGAAGGAAGUGAAACUGCGAGUUUUGCCUCAGUAGUGGCGGCGGUUCCACAUCUAUUGGGUCGAUGUCAAGCAUCAGAUGUGCUAUAUCGUCCAAGGAUAUAGAUGUAUUUCACGCAUCCAGGGAGGGGAACGCGUUUAGGAUUGCAUACACAUCAAACAAUGUGAAGUUAGCAGAUAAGCACUUACCUCUUGAGAUAGACCUUGUGCACCAUAUUUGUCGUCCCAGAACAUUGUUGCUAUGCGAUAUAUUUGAGUUAUGCUCAAAAUCUGCAGAAAACAUGCAAAAUUUUCAUACUUACAGCUUGCAAAAUUAAUCCAAGUGUUUGUAUUAUAAGAUUUCUUGUUUACAACUUACAGGGCAAAGCUCAUUCGUGAUUUCCUCCAGGGUUUUGUGUGACUUCUGAUGCAGAACCUGUAAUAUGAAUUCAUUUAAUGAGUAGAGUAGUAGACAGAUGAAACUACGAUGUCUGUGAAUAACUGCAUGGUUUCAGGCAUACCAGGGACCCAACUGCCUGCCUUAUGUGUUGCAGUUCAUCCCAAGAUGCCCCUGCAUACUGCAUUACAGCGAUAGAUUAGCUCUCUCUUGCUGAUUACCAUUAUUGUCUUGCUGAAAUUACCCAAUAAAAAAGGGGGAAAUCUUCACCUCUUCAGUUGUUCUAGAGCACCAUUGCUCCAGUUCUUGUAAGCCAGCCUUUAAGAAUUCCCCAUUGCUAAAUGAGCAGCAUUCCCGACGAAGUAGCAAACUAAACAAAAAGGUAGAGGUUUCAUACAGUCCAGAAUCAACCAUGUAAAGUAUAUACCAAAGAUGUAUUGGUGUCUUAUAUGAGCUUGUGCAGUCAACUAUUAAAGAAUAGUUAAGGGUAUAGUAUAUAGUAAUACCUAUUGAAGAGUUGCACAUUCAAGUAUGCAUAUACUUGACUAAAUGUUUUCUUUAUUAUCAUCGGAGGUACCUACAAAAUUAAAAUUGAAUUGAGUAAUGCAUUUCUGUACUUCCCUGACUGUAAGGUGGCUGAAAUAUUAAGAUUGGACUCACAUGGUUAUUUUUCAUUGUUUCCAGUGUAUUAUCCAGGCACUUAACUAUGCUUUGCCAAUGUACACUUGAUGCUUGCCUUGAUAGUGCAUUAGAGUGUAUACUUUUUAGUGAACCACGAGAUGGUCUCACACGAUUAGCUCUUGGAGCCUAUGAAGGUCAAUAAGUGUUAGAAAACUGUAUUGCCCUGCGGCCUGGUCACGAAAAUGACUUAUUUGUUGUACCUGUAUGCAUAGAGUCAAGAAUGGGCUUAUUUCUUUCUUCAGGUUAUCUCUAAUUAUCCCAUAUAUCUUCUCAACGUAUGCUGUUAACUGUUGCUUGAACCGAAGUGCUGGAUACUUUGCUUCUACCAUUGAUGCAGUGUCAGGCCUUCCUACCAUUCCACCAUAUCCACUAGUUAUGCCUAAUCCUGAUGAUGAUGUCCGGGCACUCUGAAAAUGGAAUAUUCAGAAUGUAAGCUCAUGUUUACAAUGUGAAUAUCAGUCCAUGGUACUUGAUGAAAGUUGGCUACUGAAAUCUUGACGUCUCAGAAAAAAAAUACAUAGGAAACAACACAUUAUAUCUCUAAAAGAGCAUUAGGGUUCGAACUGUGGCCUUAACCAUCUCAGCAUUGUGCUCUACGCCUCUACCAGUCUACCAAUGGCCUGUAUUAUGGGGACCCUGGCAAACUUGAUGUUGCAAUCUCAGAUAAAAACCUUUAUUCAUGCAAAACAGAAGUCUGGAUGGAGAACUUACCAGCACCAUUCUACUAAACAGGCUGCCUGUUGCAGUCCGGCUGCGAUUCGAUCCUUUACUCGAUGAACUACUAGCUUUGAGGGUAUUUUGUAAUAAGUAGAGGAGAGUUGAUGUAGUUGACAACCAAUAAGCUAGCUCUCCAGAACUUUCAGCACCCUAUAAAUUAAAUUCAGGUGAUGAGUUUCUCCACAACUUGCUCGCCAGCAUUGGUGGUUCUUACACCACGGAAAAGGGAAAGUGGUCUGAGUAUUUAUGGGAGUAACAACCUCAACUGAUGACCUAAUUGUUUGGAUGAUUCGAUCAAAUAUGUUAGUCUUCUCUGCUUCAAAUGAACGCCAGUGCAGGAGUGAUUUGUAGACAAUGCAUGCUGCAGCUGAUUUUUUGUCAUCAAAUCUCCUGUCUUCUACCAGACUUUUAAUCAGGGCAUCAUGAUUUUCCUGUGUAAGUGUGAAGGAAGAACAAUUGGCGAGACAUCAGUAUUCACUACACAUCAUGACUGAGAUUAAUAUUUUCUAAGAUAAUAAAGCAGUGAACAUACUUGUUGUCGAUCCGUCAGUGAUUUUUGUUUGCUUAGAUUCUUUACAGGAGGAACAACCACAUGCUCCUGCAUGCAGAGCAUAUGUACCCAUGUCAAUAAGAUAUCUGAAUGAGAUUAUGCAUUAUAUUAUAAUAUGUUUGCCAGGUAAAACUUAGCACAUACAUUGACUAUUUUAGCUUCUUCAAGCUGGUGUCCAUUGUCAAUUUCCUUAUGAAUGAGGUUCUGACAUAAAAUUCAGCGCAAAUCUUUUAGUUAUCAAGUAGCAAUAAAAGUUCCAAAGUAGUGUUUUCCUAAAGUUAGCUUCAAGGGGAUUUACCUCCAUUACUGAUGUCUGAUUCAUUGCAGGGGUGACCACGGCCUGAACAGCAAGCGCCGAAUUACUGUGGAGCAACUGGAUCUCCGACUCCAAGAUGGCAAUCUUGCUUUCCAGUCUAAACAGACCAUUUUUUAACUUGUGAGGCUCUCAUAGGAUGUGAAUCUCCAGAAAAAAAAGGGUGCGAAUGAAGUGUCCACAACUGGCACUUCUACUAUCUUUGGUGGUGCCUGUUCAAUUGCUAACUUCGCGGCUUCUUUCUCCUUUACCACUGCUGCAUGGGCUUCCUCAAUCUUUUCUUGCAUUUCUUGCAAAGCAGAUUGCAACUUUCCAAUUUCUUGGCCCUUGGCUUCUUCAAGGUGAAUUACCCUCAAACGCUUUUCAACAUCUAACCGCCAUCGCGAACCUGGAUAAUUAUGGAAGCCUUGGUCUCUCUUCGGAACCUGUGUUCAUUGCGAGCUGCCAUUGCCCGUAGUCCUGUCUGUAUUACUAUAGCUGAUUCAUAUACUUGACGGUACACUUUUCUGGCAGAAUGGCUACGUGCAUGCUUUUGUAUCCUAAUUGAAGCAGCAUCUCUUCUCAUAUACUCAAAAAGCUUUCUAGCUAGUCGUGCUGCAGGAUUUGAUUACAUUAUAUGUCAGUUUCAGGUAAGACCAGCUUUACUGGCCUUAAGGGCACAAAGUGCUCAAAGUAGUGAAGAAAUACCUCUCCAGAACUUCUGAGAUUGAACUGAGGCUUUUCGUAAGUUGACAAAUUCCUUUCGCAUAAGAUGUGUCUUUAUACGCCUCUGGAUUAGUCGCGCAGCAUUGGCCAAUACUUCUGCUCUUCGAGCAUCCAACUCUGCCAUCUGACCAGCUCUUAAGAAUACCUUUGUUUUCCCUAUCUGAUAUAAAGAAGGUCACAAGUGAGGUCAUACAAAAAAUAUAUGUUGUAUAAGAUUGUUUUCUCUCCCGUAUUCACCCAUUGACAUAGGCUACCUGAUAUCCUUUCAAACCCAUUCUAUCACAUAUUGCUGCACAGGCGGCCUUCUCAUCAGAGCUGAAAAAGAAUUGAACUCAGUUAAACCUUCUUCAGAAAAAUCAGAGUAUAUUUGAUUGGCAUAAUUCACCAAGAGUUUCACCCCUAAGUAUAUCGUCUAGUUAGAACCCAGCUAGAGCAUUCAUACCUGUCCACAAGCUCUGGUGCAAGCAUUCCAAACCGAUCAAUGAACUCAUCAAAUGUCCUCUUUGUUGGAUAGCCAGCACAGCUGAUCCUGAUUGCUUCCAGAACACCCUGUACCAUGACAAUGUGCAAAUGUCGAACCAAUCAAGACACAAAACAUGAAAUCAUGGUUGCAGAGUAAACAUAGUAGAACAAAUUCCACGUACAUACCCCACAUCUCAAUUGAUUCAAGACGUUGAAAUUCUCAAAGAUGCCUGGUUUCAGUACAGUAUUAGGCUUCACACAUCUAAUGUAGUGAGGUUCUGUUGUACUCAGUGUUUCCAUGAGGGAUUGAAGUUGUUGCUGCAUAUAUUACAGUUAAAAGGUUACUAGCCAUUCAAAAGACAAACAUAGAGAUCUAGCUCCAAUAUGACACACCUUAAAGCGAGCACCGAUUGAAGAGAAUUUGGACUGUUUAGAAGUCUCCUCAGGUAAUGGAGGAAAGAGAUUUGCAACAAAAGGGCACCUUGAAGAAUUUAGUAGAGCUUGGUGUUCAGCUACCACAUAGUCUUUGUUUUUAUCAAGGAACUGAUCUGCUUGAUAUGUGACCUGUUAGUUGAACAGCUUGUUAAAACUCAUAGUUGGUAGAUUGUAUAUUUCAUAUCGUAACUGAAUGGUUGCUUACAUCUCCUGCGUAGUGGUUGAUUGUAAAGGCGGUGCGAGCAAGUUUGGGCUUGCUGAAGCGCUUAUGUGCCUUGUAUGUUUGGUACAUCUUUUGGGCAAAUGUUUCAUGCGUGGACUUUGGAAACAUGCUGCAUGAACAACAUAUGCCACAUCCUUAUAUUUUUCCUUCAAAUUGCAUGCUAUGGAAUAUUUUCACUAGGAAAACUAUCCUAUGUUAAUUUUUUUAUGGCCAUAUCCUAUGUUAAUAUUUGGUGACAACAAAAUACAUUGAAGAAUGCUUUUAGGAUUAUGUCAGUUGCACAUGAGGCUACAUAGACAGUUUCUCAGAUUAAUAUUCUCUAAAUUCCAUUAGAAAUAACUUCUGUAGGGUGAAAAGACCACAACACAAAUCAUACCAUGCCUCAUCCAGAAGAGCAAUUAUUCCUCCAGGUUUCUGCAUGCAAUGUUCAAGGGUUAUUGAUCAUUUAAUAUUUAACUCUUUUAUAGAAGUAGUACAUAUACUACUUCUGGUAUGUUCCCAGAAAUUACCUUCUCAAUCAGGUCCAGCACAUCCUGAUUGUCUACAAAUUCAACAUAGCUCCAGUCUAUUUCCUCCCUUGUGUAUUCCUCUUGCUCCAUCUUAAACACAUGCUGCAAAAGGAACUCGCGUUAGAUAUAUCCGUACACAUCGGCUAUUUAUUAAUUAUUCUGUUAGUAUCUUCAAAUCUUGUCUAACCUGGUUGAAGUGCUGCUGCAACUUCUCGUUUGUCAAAUUGAUACAUAGCUGCUCAAAACUGUCAGGUGAGUAGAAUUUGUAUCGUGUUUCAGAUUUUUCAGGUACUCAAAACUAGUAUGAAGCUAAAAAACAAUCCAAAUUCAUACUUGCAGUGGAACCAAACAGUACUAAACUACUAACAGCAAACCUGUUAAUCUUGAAGCUCUCGAAUCCAUAGAUAUCAAGCACACCUAUUAUAUUGGUCGCGUCUGGAUCCUGACCAAUUGAGUUAUUGAUCUUGUCUACAAUCCUGUCAGCCAAAAUAAGAAAAUCGCCUAGUUGUUUACUCCUAGAUAAUUAGAUGACCUCCAGUACAGGUGAUGCUGGUACAAGUCUGAAGUGGUAACUGAACAUUCAGACCGCAUCUUUCAGUCUGUAGCCUUUACAUAUAGCUGGCAGCUAACACUAGUAGUACUUGAUAUUUUUCUUCUUUUUAAUGCAUUCAUGAACAUUCUUACCAGUCAAACAAUCUUGAAUAUACCGUCUUUGCUAAGGCAUCACGGCUUAAUGCAGCAGAAUCUGGAUCGAGGGGUUUCGUGAUAUUUCCAUCAGGUGUUACAAUGACUCGCUGGCAAAGGGAGUCUUCAAGGGCCUUCUCGUCACACCUGACAACAACUUUAUGCUUAGCAUACCAGAAAGAUAUGGACCCGAAAAGAAAAUAAAGAUAUUGGACUUACAUAAGCAGUUCUGCGACUGUUUUCAGGUGAUGGACUGAUUUAUCAUCUCUCAACUUGGAUGAAUCAAUUUCCUUCCCUUUGGAGAAGUCAAUAUUCCCUAAGUGAAGGAUUGCCGCUACUACUCUGAAGAUUGCAUCCUUGAGCAGUGAAAAGGAUAAAUUAUUUCUCGCAUCAGAAUGUAUUUUCUAUGCUAGACAAUUCUUCUUAUAUGGAGUACCUGUUCAUCUUGAUCAAUGCCAACAAUAUCCAUUGCAUUUCUGGUUUC
Panicum virgatum (switchgrass) is the source of this 6709-nucleotide long non-coding RNA. RefSeq lists it as uncharacterized. The record is from RefSeq and is a predicted model, not a curated record. The transcript has 6 exons. Lineage: Eukaryota; Viridiplantae; Streptophyta; Magnoliopsida; Poales; Poaceae.